UACGUAGGGUGCAGGCGUUAAUCGGAAUUACUGGGCGUAAAGCGUGCGCAGGCGGCGCGUUAAGACAGGUGUGAAAGCCCCGAGCUUAACUUGGGAAUUGCGCUUGUGACUGGCGUGCUGGAGUGUGGCAGAGGGGGGUAGAAUUCCACGUGUAGCAGUGAAAUGCGUAGAGAUGUGGAGGAACACCGAUGGCGAAGGCAGCCCCCUGGGUCAAGAUUGACGCUCAUGCACGAAAGCGUGGGGAGCAAACAGG
This 253-nucleotide ribosomal RNA is filed under the name uncultured bacterium. RNAcentral describes it as "partial 16S ribosomal RNA". It matches the Rfam family "Bacterial small subunit ribosomal RNA", at positions 524 to 776 of the family's 1533-position model. The record is from RNAcentral.